CUUGGUUGAUCCUACCAAUAGUCAUAUGUUUGUCUUGAAGAUUAAGCCAUGCUUGUGUAAGUAUGAACAAAUUCAGACUAUGAAACUAUCAAUGGCUCAUUAAAUCAGUUAUAGUCUAUUUGAUACUAUCUACUAUUCAGAUAACCAUAGUAAUUCUAAAGCUAAUAGAUGUAACAAACCCUAACAUUUGGAAGGGAUGCAUUUAUUAGAUAAAAGGUCAAUAUGGGCUUUGCUCACUGCUCUAAUGAUUCAUGAUAACUUGGCGGAUCGCACAACCUUUUGUGCCAAUAAUGCGUCAUUCAAAUUUCUACCCUAUCAACUUUCAAUAGUAGGAUAGUGGCCUACUAUGGUGGUGAUGGGUGAUAGAGAAUUAGGGUUUGAUUCUAAAGAGGUAGCCUAAGAAAUAGCUACCACAUCCAAGGAAGGCAACAGGUGUGCAAAUUACCCAAUCUUGACAUGGAAAAGUAGUGACAAUAAAUAACAAUACUGAGCUCAUGAGUUUAGUAAUUCAAAUAAAUACAAUCUAAAUCCCUUAAUGAGGAUCCAUUGAAGGGCAAGUCUAGUGCCAGUAGCCAUGAUAAUCCCAUCUCCAAUAGCAUGUAUUUAAGUUGUUACAUUAAACAACUCAUAGUUAGAACUAGGGGUGGGUCAUCCUAUUUGUUUGAUGAUGAGAACCAAUUUACUUAUCCCUACUACUGACGAUGCACUCAUGGUAUUAAUUGAUUGGGUUGUUCCUCUGGUGCUAUUACUUUGAAUAAAUUAGAGUGCUCAAAGCAGGCCAUCCUUAUAUAAAUUAGCAUGGGAUAACAAUAUAGGAUUUUAGUCCUAUUGUGUUGGCUUUUGGGAUAUGAGUAAUGAUUACCAAGGACAAUCGAAAGCAGUCAUAUUUCAUAGUCAAAGGUGAAAUUCUUGGAUUUAUGAAAGAUGAAAAACUAUGAAAGCAUAUGCUAAGGAUGUUUUAAGUAAUCAAGAAUGAAUGUUGAGGGCUUGAAGAUGAUCAGAUACCAUCUUAGUCCUAACCAUAAACGAUGCUGACCAGGGAUCGAUGGAUGUUACUUUUAGGACUAUGCUAGCACCUUAUGAGAAACCAAUGUCUUUGGGUUCUAGGAGGAGCAUGGUUGCAAGGCUGAAACUUGAAAGAGUUGACAAAAGGGCACCAUCAGGAGUGGAGCCUACGACUUAAUUUGACUUAACGUGGGAAACUUUCCCAGUCCAAACAUAGUAAGGAUUGAUAGAUUGAGAGCUCUUUCUUGAUUUUAUGGGUGAUGGUGCAUGGUUGUUCUUAGUUGCUAGAGAGAUUUGUCUAGUUAAUUCCAUUAAUGAAUGAGACCUCAGCCAGCUAAAUACAUGGAGGUGAUCCUUUAUGGCUAGCUUUUUAGUGGGACUAUAGCCGCUUAGGCCAAGUAAGUUUAAGGUAAUAAUAGGCUUAUGAUGCCGUUAGAUGUUCUGAGCCACAUGCAUAAUACGCUAACUUAUUCAACGAGUCUGUAGCCUUGGUCGACAGGCUCGAGUUAUCUUUGAAAUUUUGUCAUGAUGGGGAUAGGUCAUUGCAAUUGUUGGUCUCCGAUGAAGAAUUCCUAGCAAGCAUGAGUCAUUAGCUCGUGUUGACUAUAUCUCUGCCCUUUGUAGACACCGUCAUCACUCUGAUGAAAUGUUCAUAUUAUGGUGACAUGGAUGGUUUCUGCCUAUGACAUUAUGAGAAGUCCACUAAGCCUUAUUAUUUAGACAAAGGAGAAAUGGUAACAAGAUUUCUAUAGGUGAACCUAUGCAAG
RNAcentral lists this ribosomal RNA (1772 nucleotides) under Durio zibethinus. RNAcentral describes it as "SSU rRNA". It matches the Rfam family "Eukaryotic small subunit ribosomal RNA". Lineage: Eukaryota; Viridiplantae; Streptophyta; Magnoliopsida; Malvales; Malvaceae. The record is from RNAcentral.